UUGCGGUCAAAUCACGCUGAAACACCGGUUCUCGUUCGAUCACCGAAGUUAAGCAUCGUAGAGCCAGGUCAGUACUUAGAUGGGGGACCGUUUGGGAACACCUGGUACUGUAAG
Molecule: ribosomal RNA, 114 nt
Filed under: Acanthosepion pharaonis
Lineage: Eukaryota; Metazoa; Mollusca; Cephalopoda; Sepiida; Sepiidae
Source: RNAcentral